AAGCAUUCCCUUUUCACCCACACCCACACAAACAUCUAUUGUUUUUUGACUUUUUAAUGUUAUUCUUGCAGAGUAAGGUGAUACCUUAUUGCAGUUUUAAUUUGAAUUUCCCUGAUGAUUAGUGAUGUUAACCAUUUUUUUAACAUGCUUGUUGUGGGUUUGACAUUUAAAAAGACUCAUAUUCCUCAGAUAAGUUUUUUUCUUUUUCAUCCCCACCCCCACUCUCCCCGUCCCAGUUGAGCCUCCAUCAUCUCUCACCUGGACUGGUGCAGUCUUCUCCAAGACCCUAGGCUUCAGAAGCAGACGAGGGAACGAGCAGAAGAACAGAAGAACAGCAGAAUGGCAUGGCAGAGAGAAGAAAGGGACCAUCUGAACGCCAAGAGAAAUUCAGCUGGGGGAGGUCAGAGAGGAGAUAGACUGCAGGACAGCCAAGCUCCAGGGGAAGAUCAUCUUCCCACUCCAUCCCCUUUCCAGCUCCCCAUCCAUCCCGCUGAGAGCCACCUCCACCACUCAAUAAAACCCUGCAUUCACCAUCCUCAAGUCUGUGUGUGACCUGAUUCUUCCUGGAUGCCGGACAAGGACCUAGGUACCAUGAGGGCACUGAGCUGGUUAACACUUAAGCUAUCUGCAGGCAGCACAGCUAAAAGAAUGCAUGGUAACACAUGCCUACUUGGGCUUUGGGAGUUGCAGGCACCCACCCCUAGAAGCUACCAUGGGGCUGGAGCCCCAAGGUGCUUGCCCUGGC
RNAcentral lists this long non-coding RNA (745 nucleotides) under Homo sapiens (human). Its description in RNAcentral is "HSALNT0265704". Lineage: Eukaryota; Metazoa; Chordata; Mammalia; Primates; Hominidae. The record is from RNAcentral.